GAAGAUCCAAGGAUGGACAUUGAGUGGCCAAGGCUAUAAAUAGAAGGGUAAUCCCCUCAUUUCCACUCACCACACUACAAGCAAAUUCAAGAGCUUUCACUCCACACUUGCCCACACGUUUUUGCCUCCAAGCUUCCAAGCUUUCAAGUGUCCUAGCUUUCCAAAGCUUCAAAAGCUCUCCAACUUCUUCUUCUAAUCUUCUUGUUCAUCUUUACAAGUAAGAAGUGUUGUUUGCUUUAAUAUUCCACUCCUCUAAUCACCUCUUAUGUGUGUCCACUUUGGUUGAGAGGGUUGUCUCAAUAGUACCAAAGUGUUAGAGAAGGUUUGUGAACUCAACCAUAAAGCUCUAGUUUGGUUUUAUAGAGUUUCCGAGAAAACUCUUAGGUUGAGUCUACCUUUAAAGAUUUCAGAGGUUUUUAAGAGUUCCUUGAUACUCUAAGGUACUAACUUACCCGUAAAAGUUAGAGGUUCUUCAGAGUGCCCUUGAUACUCUAAGGUGUGAGUCUACCCGUAAAAGACUGGUUCCUAAGCGAAGUAGCCUUAAAGCUUAGAGAGGUUUUUAAGAGUUCCUUGAUACUCUAAGGUACUAACUUACCCGUAAAAGUUAGAGGUUCUUAAGAGUGCCCUUGAUACUCUAAGGUGUGAGUCUACCCGUAAAAGACUGGUUCCUAAGCGAGGUAGCCUUAAAGCUUAGAAAGGUUUUGCCAUUACCUUUAGGCGAGUGAAUUCCGGCUGUUGGUCGGGACUGGACUAGCCCUUGUUUGGGUGAACCAGUAUAAAUCU
Molecule: long non-coding RNA, 783 nt
Filed under: Zostera marina
Lineage: Eukaryota; Viridiplantae; Streptophyta; Magnoliopsida; Alismatales; Zosteraceae
Description: long non-coding RNA (ZMAR_LNC002844)
Source: RNAcentral